GUCGAACGAGAAGCAGGAGCUUGCUCCUGUGGAAAGUGGCGGACGCGGUGAGUACAACAUAGGAAAUCUGCCUUAGGGUGGGGGACAACAGAGGGAAACUUCUGCUAAUACCCCAUAUGAGUUUGGUUGAAAUACCAAUCUUGAAAGUUCCGGCGCCCUAAGAUGAGCCUGUGCCUGAUUAGCUAGUUGGUGGUGUAAUGGACUACCAAGGCGACGAUCAGUAGCUGGUUUGAGAGGAUGAUCAGCCACAAUGGGACUGAGACACGGCCCAUACUCCUACGGGAGGCAGCAGUAGGGAAUUUUGCGCAAUGGGCGAAAGCCUGACGCAGCAACACCGCGUGAAUGUUAAGCCCUUCGGGGUGUAAAGUUCUGUCAAUAGGGACGAAUUUUGACUGUACCUAUAAAGGAAGCACCGGCUAACUCCGUGCCAGCAGCCGCGGUAAUACGGGGGGUGCAAGCGUUGUCCGGAAUCAUUGGGCGUAAAGCGUUCGUAGGCGGCAAGGUAAGUCUGAUGUUAAAGCCCGGGGCUCAACUCCGGUUCGGCAUUGGAUACUAUCUAGCUAGAAUGUGGUAGAGGUAAAGGGAAUUCCUGGUGUAGCGGUGAAAUGCGUAGAUAUCAGGAGGAACAUCGGUGGCGAAAGCGCUUUACUGGACCAUUAUUGACGCUGAGGAACGAAAGCCAGGGGAGCAAAUGGGAUUAGAUACCCCAGUAGUCCUGGCCGUAAACGAUGGAUACUAGGUGUUGCGGGUAUCGACCCCUGCAGUGCCGAAGCUAACGCGAUAAGUAUCCCGCCUGGGGAGUACGCA
Molecule: ribosomal RNA, 807 nt
Filed under: uncultured bacterium
Lineage: Bacteria
Description: bacterial SSU rRNA
Rfam family: Bacterial small subunit ribosomal RNA
Source: RNAcentral